GAUGAACGCUAGCUACAGGCUUAACACAUGCAAGUCGAGGGGAAACGAUAGAGAAAGCUUGCUUUUUCUAGGCGUCGACCGGCGCACGGGUGAGUAACGCGUAUCCAACCUGCCCACCACUUGGGGAUAACCUUGCGAAAGUAAGACUAAUACCCAAUGAUAUCUCAAGAAGACAUCUGAAUGAGAUUAAAGAUUUAUCGGUGAUGGAUGGGGAUGCGUCUGAUUAGCUUGUUGGCGGGGUAACGGCCCACCAAGGCGACGAUCAGUAGGGGUUCUGAGAGGAAGGUCCCCCACAUUGGAACUGAGACACGGUCCAAACUCCUACGGGAGGCAGCAGUGAGGAAUAUUGGUCAAUGGGCGAGAGCCUGAACCAGCCAAGUAGCGUGCAGGAUGACGGCCCUAUGGGUUGUAAACUGCUUUUAUAAGGGAAUAAAGUGAGUCUCCUGAGGCUCUUUGCAUGUACCUUAUGAAUAAGGACCGGCUAAUUCCGUGCCAGCCGCCGCAGUAA
RNAcentral lists this ribosomal RNA (508 nucleotides) under uncultured bacterium. Its description in RNAcentral is "partial 16S ribosomal RNA". It matches the Rfam family "Bacterial small subunit ribosomal RNA", at positions 28 to 523 of the family's 1533-position model. The record is from RNAcentral.